Molecule: long non-coding RNA, 526 nt
Organism: Dendroctonus ponderosae (mountain pine beetle)
Lineage: Eukaryota; Metazoa; Arthropoda; Insecta; Coleoptera; Curculionidae
Exons: 4
Source: RefSeq, a predicted model, not a curated record
AAAUUUGUUUGCAACUGCGCCAAGUCAACUUGUCGCCACAGACAAAGGGACUGUCUUUGCUAAAAUUGACCGGAAGAAAAGAUGAUAUUUCGCAUCGUAAUCGACAGACAUUUAAUUUAGUGGUGAUUUCGAUGCGAAUGUGACUGUAUUAUUGACUUGAAGUGAUCCAGAUAGUCGUUAAUAUAACAGACAUAUUUUUGUCAUAUUUCGGCGUUUUGCAAAAUCGGGAUAUAUCUCGGGAAUAAUAGUAGUGUGUAAAGUGCGGUAAAACCCCCAGUAAAGUAAAAUACUGUUAUUUGCAAGUGCGGAAAGUGCAUUUAAGUUUGUGGUCCACUAGAAAUACAGAAAAACGAAGAUAUCUAGAAGUACAUCGAAAACAAGUUGUUUGGUUAAGGAAUUGUCCGCUGGCUAAGAAAAGGUCUGCAAUCGGCAAGUCAAGACUGAUUUGACAAACAUCACAUGGCUCGAGUAACAAAGGAAUUUCACGAUGAAGAAAUAUACUGCGCCAGAACGUACCUUGUGGUAA